CGUAACAAGGUCUCCGUUGGUGAACCAGCGGAGGGAUCAUUACCGAGUUUACAACUCCCAAACCCCUGUGAACAUACCUUACUGUUGCCUCGGCGGAUCAGCCCGCUCCCGGUAAAACGGGACGGCCCGCCAGAGGACCCCUAAACUCUGUUUCUAUAUGUAACUUCUGAGUAAAACCAUAAAUAAAUCAAAACUUUCAACAACGGAUCUCUUGGUUCUGGCAUCGAUGAAGAACGCAGCAAAAUGCGAUAAGUAAUGUGAAUUGCAGAAUUCAGUGAAUCAUCGAAUCUUUGAACGCACAUUGCGCCCGCCAGUAUUCUGGCGGGCAUGCCUGUUCGAGCGUCAUUUCAACCCUCAAGCCCUCGGGUUUGGUGUUGGGGAUCGGCGAGCCUUUCUGGCAAGCCGGCCCCGAAAUCUAGUGGCGGUCUCGCUGCAGCCUCCAUUGCGUAGUAGUAAAACCCUCGCAACUGGAACGCGGCGCGGCCAAGCCGUUAAACCCCCAACUUCUGAAUGUUGACCUCGGAUCAGGUAGGAAUACCCGCUGAACUUAAGCAUAU
RNAcentral lists this ribosomal RNA (557 nucleotides) under Fusarium sp. MAB-2010b. RNAcentral describes it as "eukaryotic LSU rRNA". The stretch from base 192 to 345 matches the Rfam family "5.8S ribosomal RNA". The record is from RNAcentral. Lineage: Eukaryota; Fungi; Ascomycota; Sordariomycetes; Hypocreales; Nectriaceae.